GACGAACGCUGGCGGCAUGCCUAACACAUGCAAGUCGAACGGAGAUUAUUUCGGUAAUCUUAGUGGCGAACGGGUGAGUAACGCGUGGGCAACCUGCCCUCUAGAUGGGGACAACAUCCCGAAAGGGGUGCUAAUACCGAAUGUGACAGCAAUCUCGCAUGGGGAUGCUGUGAAAGAUGGCCUCUAUUUAUAAGCUAUCGCUAGAGGAUGGGCCUGCGUCUGAUUAGCUAGUUGGUGGGGUAACGGCCUACCAAGGCGAUGAUCAGUAGCCGGUCUGAGAGGAUGAACGGCCACAUUGGGACUGAGACACGGCCCAGACUCCUACGGGAGGCAGCAGUGGGGAAUCUUCCGCAAUGGGCGAAAGCCUGACGGAGCAAUGCCGCGUGAGUGAUGAAGGAAUUCGUUCCGUAAAGCUCUUUUGUUUAUGACGAAUGUGCAGAUUGUGAACAAUGAUCUGUAAUGACGGUAGUGAACGAAUAAGCCACGGCUAACUACGUA
Molecule: ribosomal RNA, 498 nt
Filed under: uncultured bacterium
Lineage: Bacteria
Description: partial 16S ribosomal RNA
Rfam family: Bacterial small subunit ribosomal RNA
Source: RNAcentral